Molecule: ribosomal RNA, 1088 nt
Filed under: uncultured archaeon
Lineage: Archaea
Description: bacterial SSU rRNA
Rfam family: Archaeal small subunit ribosomal RNA
Source: RNAcentral
AUCCCGCCGGACCCGACUGCUAUUUGGGUGAGAAUAAGCCAUGCGAGUUGAAUGGAAUACCUAAAUUUUCCAUAGCAAACUGCUCAGUAACACAUGAUCAACUUACCCUAUAGAGACAAAUAACCUCGGGAAACUGAGGAUAAUGUUUCAUAGUUGAAAAGGCUUGGAAGAGUUUUUCAAUCAAAGGGAUAAAAAAAAUGGUUUUUAUCCGCUAUAGGAUAGGAUCGUGGUCGAUUAUGGUUGUUGGUGAGGUAAUGGCUCACCAAGCCGAUAAUCGAUAGGGGCCGUGAGAGCGGGAGCCCCGAGAUGGGUACUGAGACAACGACCCAGGCCUUACGAGGCGCAGCAGGCGCGAAACCUCCGCAAUACACGAAAGUGUGACGGGGUUACCCAAAGUGUUCAGUUUUGAACUGUGGUAGGUGAGUAAUGUCCCCUACUAGAAAGGAGAGGGCAAGGCUGGUGCCAGCCGCCGCGGUAAAACCAGCUCUUCAAGUGGUCGGGAUAAUUAUUGGGCUUAAAGUGUCCGUAGCCGGUUUAGUAAGUUCCUGGUAAAAUCGGGUAGCUUAACUAUCUGUAUGCUAGGAAUACUGCUAAACUAGAGGGCGGGAGAGGUCUGAGGUACUACAGGGGUAGGGGUGAAAUCUUAUAAUCCUUGUAGGACCACCAGUGGCGAAGGCGUCAGACUGGAACGUGCCUGACGGUGAGGGACGAAAGCCAGGGGAGCGAACCGGAUUAGAUACCCGGGUAGUCCUGGCCGUAAACGAUGCAUACUAGGUGAUGGCAUGGCCAUGAGCCGUGUCAGUGCCGUAGGGAAACCGUUAAGUAUGCCGCCUGGGAAGUACGGUCGCAAGGCUAAAACUUAAAGGAAUUGGCGGGGGAGCACCACAAGGGGUGAAGCCUGCGGUUCAAUUGGAUUCAACGCCGGAAUCACUAGUGCGGGCCGCCUGCAGGUCGACCAUAUGGGAGAGCUCCCAACGCGUUGGAUGCAUAGCUUGAGUUAUUCUAUAGUGUCACCUAAUAGCUUGGCGUAUCAUGGUCAUAGCUUGUUUCCUGGUGUGAAAUUGUUAUUCCGCCUCACAAUUCCACAC